RNAcentral lists this ribosomal RNA (396 nucleotides) under uncultured bacterium. Its description in RNAcentral is "bacterial SSU rRNA". It matches the Rfam family "Bacterial small subunit ribosomal RNA", at positions 505 to 898 of the family's 1533-position model. The record is from RNAcentral.
GUGUCAGCAGCCGCGGUAAAACGUAGGAGGCAAGCGUUAUCCGGAGUUACUGGGCGUAAAGCGUGCGUAGGCGGAUGGGUAAGUGGGUGGUGAAAGCGCCGGGCUAAACCGGGCGAGGUCCAUUCAGACUGCCUGUCUAGAGGCGGAUAGAGGGGUGCGGAAUUCCGGGUGUAGCGGUGAAAUGUGUAGAGAUCCGGAGGAACACCAGUGGUGCAAACGGCGCCCUGGGUCCGCACUGACGCUGAGGCACGAAAGCGUGGGGAGCGAACGGGAUUAGAGACCCCGGUAGUCCUAGCAGUAAACGAUGUCCACUAGGUGUGGGGGGUAGUUGACCCCUUCCGUGCCGAAGCCAACGCAUUAAGUGGACCGCCUGGGGAGUACGGUCGCAAGACUAAA